Molecule: ribosomal RNA, 264 nt
Filed under: uncultured archaeon
Lineage: Archaea
Description: partial 16S ribosomal RNA
Rfam family: Archaeal small subunit ribosomal RNA
Source: RNAcentral
ACACGACUACAUUAGAUACCCCCGUAGUCCCAGCCCUAAACGAUGCGCGUUAGGUGUAUCGGUGACCACGAGUCACCGAGGUGCCGAAGGGAAACCGUGAAACGUGCCGCCUGGGAAGUACGGUCGCAAGGCUGAAACUUAAAGGAAUUGGCGGGGGAGCACCACAACGGGUGGGCCUGCGGUUUAAUUGGACUCAACGCCGGGAAGCUCACCGGAUAAGACAGCGGAAUGAUUGCCGGGCUGAAGACCCUGCAUGACCAGCUG